This 47-nucleotide small nucleolar RNA is filed under the name Pyrobaculum aerophilum str. IM2. RNAcentral's name for it is "PAEsR45". The record is from RNAcentral. Lineage: Archaea; Thermoproteati; Thermoproteota; Thermoprotei; Thermoproteales; Thermoproteaceae.
GUGAUGUGGCGCGUGAGGGCGGAGUUGUGACGAAAUUCUAUUUCUGA